GAAUCUGCCUAUUAGUGGGGGACAACAUUCCGAAAGGAAUGCUAAUACCGCAUACGCCCUACGGGGGAAAGCAGGGGAUCUUCGGACCUUGCGCUANUAGAUGAGCCUAAGUCAGAUUAGCUAGUUGGUGGGGUAAAGGCCUACCAAGGCGACGAUCUGUAGCGGGUCUGAGAGGAUGAUCCGCCACACUGGGACUGAGACACGGCCCAGACUCCUACGGGAGGCAGCAGUGGGGAAUAUUGGACAAUGGGCGAAAGCCUGAUCCAGCCAUGCCGCGUGUGUGAAGAAGGCCUUUUGGUUGUAAAGCACUUUAAGCGAGGAGGAGGCUACUUGGAUUAAUACUCUAGGAUAGUGGACGUUACUCGCAGAAUAAGCACCGGCUAACUCUGUGCCAGCAGCCGCGGUAAUACANAGGGUGCGAGCGUUAAUCGGAUUUACUGGGCGUAAAGCGUGCGUAGGCGGCUUUUUAAGUCGGAUGUGAAAUCCCUGAGCUUAACUUAGGAAUUGCAUUCGAUACUGGGAAGCUAGAGUAUGGGAGAGGAUGGNAGAAUUCCAGGUGUAGCGGUGAAAUG
This 572-nucleotide ribosomal RNA is filed under the name unidentified microorganism. RNAcentral's name for it is "bacterial SSU rRNA". It matches the Rfam family "Bacterial small subunit ribosomal RNA", at positions 122 to 688 of the family's 1533-position model. The record is from RNAcentral.